CUGAUACAGGUGAAAUCAGAAGAGUUAAAUAGAUAUUCCUAAACUACAAGUGUAUCUCAAGACAGCGAGUUAUUCAGGUACAGAGCCUCUACUUGUGUCUCUUUGUUUCUGUGCCUUCUUGGUCACUGUAUAUGAAGACUAAUUUAACAUCCACGGUUCCUUGUCUCAGUCUUAAGGUUCAUAGGAAGAGCAUAAGAGAGUUUUACUUUUGCUCAAAUGAGAUAUAAUUUAUAAAUACAGAAUAAAGAAGAGCAAGGUUCGUAAGUACAGAUUCAUCACCAAGGGAACAUGCAGCAAUAAAAGCCACAAGUAGCCUCUGGAGGUAAAAAGAGGAAUGAAAUUGAGUAACAUCAUAUAUAUGAGUGGAGUGAGCUUCCCUCUGUUAACUGAUAAAGAUAAAGAAGACUGUCCAGUUUUACAGAAGGAGAGAUGUCUACAUAUGGAGGCCUAAAAUCAUUCUGAGACUGAGAAAAACCAUAGAAAUAAAGAGAUGUUGUUGUUGUCAUCAUCAUUAUCAUCAUCACCAUCAUCAUCAUGACCAUCUUCAUCAUCAUCAUCCUCCUCCUCAUCACCAUCAUCAUACCUCUUACAGCCUAGAUGGGAUGUUCACAAGCACGAUCCAUACAGUCUUCCUUGGAUCCAAGGCUCUUGUGGCAGCCUGGAGACUCAGUGCCAUGUGACUUUCAGUCAAGCCCAGAGAAGCUGUCAACAUGGAGAGAGAGAGAAAGAGAGAGAGAGAGACAGAGACAGAGACAGAGACACAGAACACAGAGAGAAAUCCUGAACACAUGGGAGCGAGAAAUGACUACCCACAUGGGAUUCAAUUGCUUUUCACAUGUUAUUUCCCAUUGCGCAAGUGCCUCCCUCACCAAUUUCUCACCCCCUGCUAAUUCCUUCCCCGCCAGCACAGCAGAGAAUAAGAACGUAGCAAUUGGUAUAUGUUGGUGGAUGCUGUACAGACUGGGACAGUGUGAGCUUUUCUAUUUCUGUUCAUCGUGAAAGAGGGCACAUGGAGCAGGGAGCUUUCGACAGCUCUUAUGGGCCCUUUGGCCAGAAACGGACUGAUACCUGCAGGAUCCAGAAAUUGUUAUUUAGGAUGACCUUUAAAUGUGUUGCACUGUGGAUAAUUAGAACCUACAUUAGAUUUCUGAGAGGCAGUAUAGCAAUGUGCUGAGGAACAAGCCCUGGACCAGAAUCUUGACUCUCUAUCUUUAUUAGGGUUACGUCCUAUUAGGUGGGGUUUUUGGAUCGAUUAUUUAGCCUCUUUUUGCCUGAUUUUCCUUGCUGUCUACUUUAUAUGACCAGCUUGUGGUGGAGCAUAAUGUUAAUUUUCAAAGUAUUAAAAUGUGUCAGGCUCAUGACAGAUGCAGUUUUAAUGUUUACUAUUACUUCAUAGCUAAUAUCAAUCUUGUUUUUUUAUAUGCCGACACAAAACACUGGGCUCCAGGAAUGGCUUCCUUAAUGCAGUGGAGUUACAUAACAUAGUGUUAGAAACAGUAACUGCAGUGAGCACAGAAUUAACAUAUGUGAUAAGUAGGGAUUGCCAAGUUUUAAAGAACUCACAGAGAGCGCUGUCAAAUGCAACACUUCCUUCAGUCAGUGCGACUCAAAUCAACCAUUUUCUUUCUUUUUUUCCCCUCCGGUACUGUGGUCAGCAAUGUCUGUGGCUUCCUUUAAUCUCCCCAGCAGCUCUGCGCACUGUGUUUUAUUAUCAUCUUACUUAAGUCACAGACAAAUAGAACAGUCACGUAGGAAAUCAGUGAAAUUCAAGCCAUAAAUCUGAGUACUCUGAA
Long non-coding RNA from Mus spicilegus (steppe mouse), 1793 nucleotides. The record is from Ensembl. NCBI's taxonomy places the organism in Eukaryota, Metazoa, Chordata, Mammalia, Rodentia, Muridae.